GACGAACGCUGGCGGCGUGCUUAACACAUGCAAGUCGAACGGAAAGGCCCUGCUUUUGUGGGGUGCUCGAGUGGCGAACGGGUGAGUAACACGUGAGUAACCUGCCCUUGACUUUGGGAUAACUUCAGGAAACUGGGGCUAAUACCGGAUAGGAGCUCCUGCUGCAUGGUGGGGGUUGGAAAGUUUCGGCGGUUGGGGAUGGACUCGCGGCUUAUCAGCUUGUUGGUGGGGUAGUGGCUUACCAAGGCUUUGACGGGUAGCCGGCCUGAGAGGGUGACCGGCCACAUGGGGACUGAGAUACGGCCCAGACGCCUACGGGGGGCAGGAGUGGGGAAUAUUGCACAAUGGGCGGAAGCCGGAUGCAGCAACGCCGCGUGCGGGAUGACGGCCUUCGGGUUGUAAACCGAUUUCGCCUGUGACGAAGCGUGAGUGACGGUAAUGGGUAAAGAAGCACCGGCUAACUACGU
RNAcentral lists this ribosomal RNA (467 nucleotides) under uncultured bacterium. RNAcentral describes it as "partial 16S ribosomal RNA". It matches the Rfam family "Bacterial small subunit ribosomal RNA", at positions 28 to 506 of the family's 1533-position model. The record is from RNAcentral.